RNAcentral lists this small nucleolar RNA (104 nucleotides) under Microcebus murinus (gray mouse lemur). Its description in RNAcentral is "Small nucleolar RNA U13 (ENSMICG00000044238.1)". It matches the Rfam family "Small nucleolar RNA U13". Lineage: Eukaryota; Metazoa; Chordata; Mammalia; Primates; Cheirogaleidae. The record is from Rfam by way of RNAcentral.
ACCCUUUUGUAGUUCAUAAGCGUGAUGAUUGGGUUUUCAUGCGCAUGCGUGAGAUGUGCCUCCCUCAAACCUUGUUACGACAUCGGCACAUUACCCGUCUGAUG